GGGCUUGACAUCCCACGAACCUGCCUGAAAGGGCGGGGUGCCCGCAAGGGAGCGUGGAGACAGGUGGUGCAUGGCUGUCGUCAGCUCGUGUCGUGAGAUGUUGGGUUAAGUCCCGCAACGAGCGCAACCCUCACCCCUGGUUGCCACCGGGUGAUGCCGAGCACUCGAGGGGAACUGCCAGCGUCAAGCUGGAGGAAGGCGGGGAUGACGUCAAGUCAUCAUGCCCCUUACGCCCUGGGCUACACACGUGCUACAAUGGCCGGUACAAAGGGACGCAAGACCGCGAGGUGGAGCUAAUCCCAAAAAGCCGGUCUAAGUUCAGAUUGCAGUCUGCAACUCGACUGCAUGAAGGAGGAAUCGCUAGUAAUCGCGCACCAGCCCGGCGCGGUGAAUACGUUCCCGGGCCUUGUACACACCGCCCGUCACACCACGAAAGCUGUCUGUACUCGAAGUCGCUGAG
RNAcentral lists this ribosomal RNA (460 nucleotides) under uncultured Methylomirabilota bacterium. Its description in RNAcentral is "bacterial SSU rRNA". It matches the Rfam family "Bacterial small subunit ribosomal RNA", at positions 977 to 1434 of the family's 1533-position model. Lineage: Bacteria; Methylomirabilota (SeqCode). The record is from RNAcentral.